AAUGCCAAUCAUGGCACUCUGCAUGCACCUAACCUAUUUUGAUCUUAGAAGUUAAGCAGGGUCAAGCCUAGUGAGUACCUGGAUGCGAGAGUUUAAGUCUAGUCUGUG
RNAcentral lists this ribosomal RNA (108 nucleotides) under Microtus ochrogaster (prairie vole). Lineage: Eukaryota; Metazoa; Chordata; Mammalia; Rodentia; Cricetidae. The record is from RNAcentral.